RNAcentral lists this ribosomal RNA (492 nucleotides) under uncultured bacterium. RNAcentral describes it as "partial 16S ribosomal RNA". It matches the Rfam family "Bacterial small subunit ribosomal RNA", at positions 29 to 507 of the family's 1533-position model. The record is from RNAcentral.
AGUGAACGCUGGCGGUAGGCCUAACACAUGCAAGUCGAACGGCAGCACAGUAAGAGCUUGCUCUUACGGGUGGCGAGUGGCGGACGGGUGAGGAAUACAUCGGAAUCUACUUUUUCGUGGGGGAUAAAGUAGGGAAACUUACGCUAAUACAGCAUACGACCUACGGGUGAAAGCAGGGGAUCUUCGGACCUUGCGCGAUUGAAUGAGCGGAUGUCGGAUUAGCUAGUUGGCGGGGUAAAGGCCCACCAAGGCGACGAUCCGUAGCUGGUCUGAGAGGAUGAUCAGCCACACUGGAACUGAGACACGGUCCAGACUCCUACGGGAGGCAGCAGUGGGGAAUAUUGGACAAUGGGCGCAAGCCUGAUCCAGCCAUACCGCGUGGGUGAAGAAGGCCUUCGGGUUGUAAAGCCCUUUUGUUGGGAAAGAAAAGCAGCAGGUUAAUACCCCGCUGUUCUGACGGUACCCAAAGAAUAAGCACCGGCUAACUUCGUG